AACCGCGGCUAUACGAGAGGCCCAAGUUGACAGAUUCCGGCAUAAAGCGUGGUUAAGAUAAACUAAAAACUAAAGCCGAACGCCCUCCGGGCUGUUAUACGCUCCCGAAGGUAAGAAGCCCAAUUACGAAAGUAGCUUUACAUUACUGAACCCACGAAAGCUAGGGCA
Molecule: ribosomal RNA, 168 nt
Filed under: Drepane punctata (spotted sicklefish)
Lineage: Eukaryota; Metazoa; Chordata; Actinopteri; Ephippiformes; Drepaneidae
Description: partial small subunit ribosomal RNA
Source: RNAcentral